RNAcentral lists this long non-coding RNA (422 nucleotides) under Olea europaea (common olive). Its description in RNAcentral is "long non-coding RNA (OEUR_LNC012887)". Lineage: Eukaryota; Viridiplantae; Streptophyta; Magnoliopsida; Lamiales; Oleaceae. The record is from RNAcentral.
AUUCUUUAUUGCUGUUUUUCACAAGCUUUCACCUCUUUCUGGUAAGUCGGAAAAAUCAUUCUGAUUAAAAGCUUUGGGCUUUCUUGAUCACUUCGUAAACCAAGAUCUGAUAUAUUUUGGUUUCGUUGCUGGUAGUCCCACCAUAACCAACUCUACUAAAAGGGAUGAUUCCGGAAAAACUGAUGUAAAACGGUUGCAAUCGGUUGUUGAAGGGGUAGAACUGAUGUAGCUGUGAUGGUGACUGCAAUUGACUGCCAGGAACUGUUAGAAAGGUUGGCUGCCAUUAAUAUAACAGAAACUGGCCUGGUGCACAAGAAUAAUUCCUCCCAUCUUGAGGCUGGCAGACGAAGUAGUGUACAAGAAUGUUUCUGAAAUUAAAGAAGAUAUUAAAGCAUUGACACCAGCAACUCUUGGUUGAACCA